Molecule: ribosomal RNA, 696 nt
Filed under: Bacillus aerophilus
Lineage: Bacteria; Bacillati; Bacillota; Bacilli; Caryophanales; Bacillaceae
Description: bacterial SSU rRNA
Rfam family: Bacterial small subunit ribosomal RNA
Source: RNAcentral
CAAGUCGAGCGGACAGAAGGGAGCUUGCUCCCGGAUGUUAGCGGCGGACGGGUGAGUAACACGUGGGUAACCUGCCUGUAAGACUGGGAUAACUCCGGGAAACCGGAGCUAAUACCGGAUAGUUCCUUGAACCGCAUGGUUCAAGGAUGAAAGACGGUUUCGGCUGUCACUUACAGAUGGACCCGCGGCGCAUUAGCUAGUUGGUGAGGUAACGGCUCACCAAGGCGACGAUGCGUAGCCGACCUGAGAGGGUGAUCGGCCACACUGGGACUGAGACACGGCCCAGACUCCUACGGGAGGCAGCAGUAGGGAAUCUUCCGCAAUGGACGAAAGUCUGACGGAGCAACGCCGCGUGAGUGAUGAAGGUUUUCGGAUCGUAAAGCUCUGUUGUUAGGGAAGAACAAGUGCAAGAGUAACUGCUUGCACCUUGACGGUACCUAACCAGAAAGCCACGGCUAACUACGUGCCAGCAGCCGCGGUAAUACGUAGGUGGCAAGCGUUGUCCGGAAUUAUUGGGCGUAAAGGGCUCGCAGGCGGUUUCUUAAGUCUGAUGUGAAAGCCCCCGGCUCAACCGGGGAGGGUCAUUGGAAACUGGGAAACUUGAGUGCAGAAGAGGAGAGUGGAAUUCCACGUGUAGCGGUGAAAUGCGUAGAGAUGUGGAGGAACACCAGUGGCGAAGGCGACUCUCUGGUCUGU